AGCUUUGCGCAGCGGCAGUAUCAUAGCCAGUGAGGUUUACUCCACGAGUGAUUAUUGCUAAUUGAAAAACUGAUGAACAUACGAAGUGCGUGUCUGUAGCUUCAUAGUACAGUCAGCCAACUUGAGACCUUGGCUCAGG
RNAcentral lists this small nuclear RNA (139 nucleotides) under Piliocolobus tephrosceles (Ugandan red Colobus). RNAcentral's name for it is "U4 spliceosomal RNA (ENSPTEG00000022472.1)". It matches the Rfam family "U4 spliceosomal RNA". From Rfam's summary of the family: U4 small nuclear RNA (U4 snRNA) is a component of the major U2-dependent spliceosome. The structure of U4 snRNA from yeast and human has been reported. Lineage: Eukaryota; Metazoa; Chordata; Mammalia; Primates; Cercopithecidae. The record is from Rfam by way of RNAcentral.